This 270-nucleotide ribosomal RNA is filed under the name Bacillus thuringiensis. Its description in RNAcentral is "partial 16S ribosomal RNA". It matches the Rfam family "Bacterial small subunit ribosomal RNA", at positions 1 to 258 of the family's 1533-position model. The record is from RNAcentral. Lineage: Bacteria; Bacillati; Bacillota; Bacilli; Caryophanales; Bacillaceae.
UUUAUUGGAGAGUUUGAUCCUGGCUCAGGAUGAACGCUGGCGGCGUGCCUAAUACAUGCAAGUCGAGCGAAUGGAUUAAGAGCUUGCUCUUAUGAAGUUAGCGGCGGACGGGUGAGUAACACGUGGGUAACCUGCCCAUAAGACUGGGAUAACUCCGGGAAACCGGGGCUAAUACCGGAUAAUAUUUUGAACUGCAUGGUUCGAAAUUGAAAGGCGGCUUCGGCUGUCACUUAUGGAUGGACCCGCGUCGCAUUAGCUAGUUGGUGAGGU